GUAGGUGGCAAGCGUUGUCCGGAAUUAUUGGGCGUAAAGCGCGCGCAGGCGGUUCUCUAAGUCUGAUGUGAAAGCCCACGGCUCAACCGUGGAGGGUCAUUGGAAACUGGAGAACUUGAGUACAGAAGAGGAAAGCGGAAUUCCACGUGUAGCGGUGAAAUGCGUAGAGAUGUGGAGGAACACCAGUGGCGAAGGCGGCCUUCUGGUCUGUAACUGACGCUGAGGCGCGAAAGCGUGGGGGAGCAAACAGGAUUAGAUACCCUGGUAGUCCACGCCGUAAACGAUGAGUGCUAAGUGUUAGGGGGUUUCCGCCCCUUAGUGCUGCAGCUAACGCAUUAAGCACUCCGCCUGGGAGUACGGCCGCAAGGCUG
RNAcentral lists this ribosomal RNA (371 nucleotides) under uncultured organism. RNAcentral's name for it is "partial 16S ribosomal RNA". It matches the Rfam family "Bacterial small subunit ribosomal RNA", at positions 527 to 896 of the family's 1533-position model. The record is from RNAcentral.